Molecule: unclassified non-coding RNA, 240 nt
Filed under: soil metagenome
Description: partial contains 5.8S ribosomal RNA, internal transcribed spacer 2, and large subunit ribosomal RNA
Source: RNAcentral
AACCUUAUGGACCUGCGGGCGUAUACCUGCGGAAGGAUCAUUAAAAAGAGUGUGUACCCCUCUGUAAAAUGAGUGGGUUACCUCCCGUCCUUUGUUGACCUCUUAGGAGGUUAUUUUGAACUUUCUGCUUCGGUGGGGUUAAACCUACCGGAACACCCUCAAAUUCUUAUCAUUUAAAAAUUGUUCAGUCUGAUUUUUGUUAAUAAAAACAAAAAACUUUCAACAACGGAUCUCAGAUCG